UUAAUAACAGCAUUUUCUACUUAUAGUAGAGCAAAUGAACUCUUUAAAAUCAAGCAGUGCAAAAAAAUAAAAAUAAAAUAAAAUCAAGCAGUGCUUUCUGAAACUGCUUCACCUAAGGUAACAGUGAAGGGAGAGCAGCAUUUAAUGAAAACAAGCAAAUGAUGAAGGAAAUUCAAACAGGCUGGGAUGGAGAAUGGGGACAGAAAGAGAGAAGAAUCUGCUGAGGGAACAGGAGACAGAGGAAAAACAGGAAAAGAAUUUUAAAGAAAGCAUGCCCAAGAUCAACAAUACAGAGGAGAAAGAAUCUUCCAGGUGAAUCCCGAUGCCGCUUUGUGAGGACACUCAAGCAGCCCUUGGAGAGGUCCAGUUGGUGAACAGUUGAGCCCAAAUGAAUUCUAAGUAGAAUGGACAAUUCUGUAAGCAAUUUUACCAAAAUGUCAAAAUGCAAACUUUGUGAAGAGUGAGACAAAUAAGCUUUACUUCUGUGUUUUCAGCUACUCAGCCUGGCUCUGUCAGCAAGUUUUCUUCUUGGCCAAAGAUGUUUAGAGCUGUGGAUCCAUCCUUUUAGUUCUGUUCAUCAAAAACAAAACAAAACAAAAAACAAAAAAACAAAACCUCAAGUGUCUAAUUAGAUGAUUUAGAAUCACUAAAUCACCGUGGAAUAUUUAAAGUUUAAAGUUGAUUUUAAAUAUUCCCUAAGGUAUAAAUAAAAUAGCUAUUUCCUAA
Molecule: long non-coding RNA, 726 nt
Organism: Canis lupus familiaris (dog)
Lineage: Eukaryota; Metazoa; Chordata; Mammalia; Carnivora; Canidae
Exons: 2
Source: RefSeq, a predicted model, not a curated record